AACGAACGCUGGCGGCGUGCCUAACACAUGCAAGUCGAACGAGAAAGGGGCUUCGGCUCCGAGUAAAGUGGCGCACGGGUGAGUAACACGUAGGUAACCUGCCUCUAAGAUUGGGAUAACCUGUCGAAAGACGAGCUAAUACCGAAUAAGACCACGGCUUCCUCGGAAGCAGGGGUCAAAGGUAGCCUCUACUUGUAAGCUAUCACUUAGAGAUGGGCCUGCGUACCAUUAGCUAGNGGUGGGUAACGGCCUACCAAGGCAAAGAUGGUUAGCUGGUCUGAGAGGAUGAUCAGCCACACUGGAACUGAGACACGGUCCAGACUCCUACGGGAGCAGCAGUGGGAAUAUUGCGCAAAUGGGCGAAAGCCUGACGCAGCAACGCCGCGUGAGUGAUG
RNAcentral lists this ribosomal RNA (395 nucleotides) under uncultured bacterium. RNAcentral's name for it is "bacterial SSU rRNA". It matches the Rfam family "Bacterial small subunit ribosomal RNA", at positions 29 to 410 of the family's 1533-position model. The record is from RNAcentral.